RNAcentral lists this microRNA precursor (205 nucleotides) under Oryza glumipatula. Its description in RNAcentral is "MIR812 microRNA precursor family". It matches the Rfam family "MIR812 microRNA precursor family". The record is from Rfam by way of RNAcentral. Lineage: Eukaryota; Viridiplantae; Streptophyta; Magnoliopsida; Poales; Poaceae.
AAUAUUUGACGCCGUUGGCUUUUUUAAAUAUGUUUGACCGUUCGUCUUAUUUAAAAAAUUUAAGUAAUUAUUAAUUGGUUUCCUUUCAUUUGAUUCAUUGUUAAAUAUACUUUUAUGCAUACAUAUAGUUUUACAUAUUUCACAAAAUUUUUUAAAUAAGACGAACGGUCAAACAUGUUUAAAAAAGUCAACGACGUCAAAUAUU